This 365-nucleotide unclassified non-coding RNA is filed under the name uncultured bacterium. Its description in RNAcentral is "contains 16S-23S intergenic spacer region". The record is from RNAcentral.
UCCCCGUUGCCGAGGCAGUCUCGUUAGAAAAAUACAACUAAAGAUGAGGGUUGCGCUCGUUGAAGGACUUAACCUAACAUCUCACGACACGAGCUGACGACGGCCAUGCAUCACCUGUCACUGGUCCAACUAAAUGACUUUUCUAUCUCUAGAAAAUAUGACCAGGAUGUCAAGUCUGGGUAAGGUUCUUCGCGUAGCCUCGAAUUAAACCACACGCUCCACCGCUUGUGCGGGUCCCCGUCAAUUCCUUUGAGUUUUAGUCUUGCGACCGUACUCCCCAGGCGGGAUGCUUAACGCGUUAGCUUUACUACUGAACGGGUCGAUACGUCCAACAGUUAGCAUCCAUCGUUUACGGCGUGGACUAC